GACGAACGCUGGCGGCGUGCUUAACACAUGCAAGUCGAACGGAAAGGCCCUGCUUUUGUGGGGUGCUCGAUUGGCGAAGGGGUGAGUAACACGUGAGUAACCUGCCCUUGACUUUGGGAUAACUUCUGGAAACUGGGGCGAAUACCGGAUAGGAUCUCCUGCUGCAUGGUGGUGGUUGGAAAGUGACGGCGGUUGUGGAUGGACUCGCUGGUUAUCAGCUUGUUUGUGGGGUAGUCGCGUACCACGGCUUUGACGGGUAGCCGGCCUGAGAGGGUGAACGGCCACAAUGCGACUGCGAUACGGACCAGUAUGCUACCGGACGCAGCAGUGGGGAACAUUGCACAAUGGGCGGGAGUCUGAUGUAGCAACGCCGCGUGCGGGAUAACGGCCUUCGGGUGGUAAACAGAUUUCGACGGAGACGUAGCGUGAGUGACGGUAAUGGGUAAAGAAGCACCGGCUAACUACGUG
Molecule: ribosomal RNA, 468 nt
Filed under: uncultured bacterium
Lineage: Bacteria
Description: partial 16S ribosomal RNA
Rfam family: Bacterial small subunit ribosomal RNA
Source: RNAcentral